GAUUUUUAAUUUGUAGGAUUUUAAUUAAAAGAAAAAGGAAAAAUUAACAAAAUAAAAGAAGAGAAUUGGAUAAGAAAGGUUUGUCUUGUGAAAUUGGGCCAACAUUAAUGCUGGGCCCAAAGCCUAUACCCGAAUCUUCCCAUACCCAAUAACCCACUCAAAGCCCAAUCUCCCUACCCAAAUACCCAUUACCCUUUACCCUACCUCCUACAUGUAAAAACACAAUUUAGAAACCAAAAAAAAGGACCUCAUCCCUGAGAUCAGGGAAUCAGCACAGCUUUUUUGGAAAAGAGACCUUCCCGUUCGUCUUCUUCUUCACAAAUCAACAACCAGAGAGACUCCCCCCUCACGUCUUCGUCUCCACCCCAAAACCAGUCAAAGCGGCCAUUAAAAUUAACCCCAAACAGUCACCAAAAAUCGGUAAAUGGCUGUUUCCUUCAGCUGAAUUUAAAAGGAAUUCGAAAAGGUCGAGUCCAAAGUCUAUUGUGUCAUCGAGGUUCGAGUUUGUGCCCGUCGAUGUUUCGGACUUGUUGAAGUCUCAUUACUGUUGAAGUUGUCGAAUCUGCUGGGUUAUCUGGUUCAGAGCUGUGGAUUUGUGCUCUAGUUGCUAUUGCUGUUGAUCUUCCUUACAAAUAGAAGUCGGAGCUGUUUGCGGUUGUUUCUCCUGCAGUUAGUAGCUGAACACCCAUUUGAAGUUAUUUUCGGCCUUUAUUUGGCUAUUUUAAAGUCUUACUACUGCUGUCCAGAAAUUUUUAUAUAUAAAAAGCUGUUUUGGAGCCCUGGAAUUGCUGCUCGUUGUCCGUUGAUUUGCGUUGUCGUUACACUGUUUCUCGUUGUUGUUCUGUCGCUAUGGAGCUACAUUUGUUUUUAACUCCAUACUUUAUUUGAUUAAUUUCUGCCCGGAAAAGGAAAUGACUGGAGUUGUGUACUGCAUUUGGAGCUGUGUAGUCAAAUGCAUUUGCUGAAGAACCCGAAAUCAUUGCGUGAGAUCUGCUGGUUCUCAUCGGAAUUUUGGGAGUCAAAUAUAGAGCUGUGGCUGAUUAUUUCUACUGCUAUCAAGGAGAUAUUCGCUGGAACAGGCAUUGGAAGGUUAUUUCGUGAGGAAUUAAGGUCAAGUUGGAGUUGCUCUUUCUGUUUAAAGACUAAGGAGUCGUGACAUUUGCAUAGCUUGAGGUUGGGCAGUAUAUACAAGGUCCUGAUAGACAGGUAGACACAGCUUCCCCACCACAGUAGGCUGCCCAGUUCAGCUGUUAUUGGCGAGAUCCCUUCUCCGGACUUGCCGUGGUCUUGGUUUGGAGCAUUUGGAGGCUGAGUCGAGAGGCAAGAG
This is a long non-coding RNA of Nicotiana attenuata, 1327 nucleotides long. RefSeq lists it as uncharacterized. Lineage: Eukaryota; Viridiplantae; Streptophyta; Magnoliopsida; Solanales; Solanaceae. The transcript is spliced from 5 exons. The record is from RefSeq and is a predicted model, not a curated record.